Long non-coding RNA from Macadamia integrifolia, 317 nucleotides. RefSeq lists it as uncharacterized. The record is from RefSeq and is a predicted model, not a curated record. The transcript is spliced from 3 exons. Lineage: Eukaryota; Viridiplantae; Streptophyta; Magnoliopsida; Proteales; Proteaceae.
UCACACUUUCUAAUGGACAGGUUACCUAGAGUUGUGGCCGGCAAUGUAGAGAUUCAUUUUCUGCUUUAUUGACGAUUCAACAGUGAUGAAUUGAGGUGUCCUCCUUUUCUCAUGUUUUCAGUCUUCAAAGCUUCACCUUUUUGGUUCCUUUUUCUCUUUGAACGUGUGGAUACGCUAAAAGUGGUGGAUUUAAGGAUGAAAAGCUAGGAGGUUUCAUGGGUAAUGACCAAUCAAGAUUGCAACAUCGCAGAAAAGUUUGUGACGCAAUUUAAGUGCUUGCAAUCAUCGUCUUCAACCUUGGUUUGUCUACAACUCAG